Long non-coding RNA from Gasterosteus aculeatus aculeatus (three-spined stickleback), 1830 nucleotides. The record is from Ensembl. Lineage: Eukaryota; Metazoa; Chordata; Actinopteri; Perciformes; Gasterosteidae.
GCAGCAGGAGGGUUCAAAGGUUCACUUCAAGUCCCUUGUUUAGUAUUUACAAGCACCACUUAUUGCUUUAUUACGCUAUGAAGUACUUUUAAUGGACACAAGGACAAACGUGCAUUUUAGUAAAGGUGCACGAUUCAUUUCAGUUGCCUCUCAACGGCUCUCAGCAUGGCAGCUCGUAGCAGCGAAGUGCUAACGGGAGCUAACGUGGAACUGAAUAAAAGGCACCUCCACUGACCUGCAGCUGACGUUAUGAAAUACAUCUGGUCGUUGUGUCUACAGCAGAACUCAAAUCUCCUCAUAUUCAAUUCUCAGUGUGUCAGAAAUCAACUCACUGCGAAUGAUCGGAUGUAAAAGUUGAUCUGUAAGUCUGAAUGUUCUCCCUGGAUUUGGGGUUUGGGUUAGUCGAUCACGGAGCCAAAUCCUCUUCCUCACCCUCGCAGCGCAGUCUGAUCUGGUCAUGUCCGCACUCGGUGAAGAGCAGAAAGCUUUUCCAGCUCCUGUCUCCAAAGUGAAGACCACGGGACCGAGAGGUCGGCGUCUCGUGCUCCUUCAUCAGACACAAAGAAAUGCACUUAACUUUUCAGUCGCCUCAAAGCCAGUUCAAGGCUUCGACGGCUCAGCAGUCGGGACGAGCAGGAUGAAUUAAUAUCUCUUGUUCCUCUGUAAUCCCAAUGAGCAAAGUGAUGGAGAGGAGGAAGUCCUACACGUCGGAGGAAGAGUACGAGCAGUGUGCGGUUUGUCACUUCAGGGGAGUAAACGUCUCGUUGAAGUUGAACAGAUGUGUUUCCUGGUCUGACUGCUCCACUGGACAAGGAUCAUAAACCAACACGAAAGGCUCGUGCAGCGAACAGUGUUCAACUCACACCUCGACUAUCGAUUGUUACUCGACAGGAGAAAAAUAUCCAGCGGUGCUUCAGAUUGAUUCAUCAGAAGAGUCACUUUGAGGAACGGAUCAAAUGAACCCGACACGGAUGUUCUCCCAUCUUCUGUAACCACGACUCACUCCUCCAUCCUUCUCAGUUAGAUCUUUAAUACGGGACGUGGGACAUCGCAGCAGGGGGCCGUGUUGCACUCGCUUUCACCGUCACCGUGGUGACGAAAGGAGAGCGGCGCCGGAAGGCAAAGCUCUCGAUGUACCGGUCGAUCUUCGUUCCCACCUUCACCUCUGGCCCUGAAGGAGUCAUGAAAUAGGUCCAAUGCUGGGAGAUGGUCCGCUGAGGGAGGGGGGUUACAGGUAUACAUGGUGAAGUGGAUGUUAACCUAAGUGUGGUACAUUAAGGGACAAAAUCUUCCUUUUCUCUUUGUGGAUUUGGCAGAACUCGUAUACUUGGUAACUGUGUAAAUGCACUCGUGCAGACAGAAGAGUCCGGAGGUCCAAUCACCUUCUCACAACAUCACCUGACAAUAAAUACACAUCCAUGUGUGCUGACAGCCCAACACACAUAUUCUGCCCAACUGUCUCCACUGGUGUUCAUUACACGUUACAUUACCACACGUAUGUGAAGAGGAGCUUACUCACUGAUGAGCUCCAGUUUGAACGUAUUCAGGAUGCAGAAGGUGAACGAAGGUCAUGCAACGUAUUUCAGAGUGGAAGUAAUGCAACCAUCCAACGCUCUGAAGAAAGUAUCGCAACCAUCCAACGCUCUGAAGAAAGUAACGCCACCAUCCAACGCUCUGAAGAAAGUAACGCAACCAUCCAACGCUCUGAAGAAAGUAACGCAACCAUCCAACGCUCUGAAGAAAGUAACGCAACCAUCCAACGCUCUGAAGAAAGUAACGCAACCAUCCAACGCUCUGAAGAAAGUAACGCAACCAUCCAACGCUCUGAAG